CGUAUACCCCGUUCGUCCGGAAAUACUUGUCAUAUGAAUGGAUGUAUCUAGAUGUAUUUUAGUUCUGGAUACAUCCAUUUAUACUCAUUUUUAUGACAAUUAAUUCCGGACAGAGGGAUUAGUUA
Hordeum vulgare subsp. vulgare (domesticated barley) is the source of this 125-nucleotide non-coding RNA. NCBI's taxonomy places the organism in Eukaryota, Viridiplantae, Streptophyta, Magnoliopsida, Poales, Poaceae. The record is from Rfam.